GACAGAGGGUGCAAACGUUGCUCGGAAUCACUGGGCGUAAAGGGCGUGUAGGCGGGAAGGAAAGUCAGAUGUGAAAUCCCCAGGCUCAACCUGGGAACUGCAUUUGAAACUCCCUUUCUUGAGUACCGGAGAGGAAAGUGGAAUUCCUGGUGUAGAGGUGAAAUUCGUAGAUAUCAGGAGGAACACCGGUGGUGUAAACGGCUUUCUGGACCAUAACUGACACUGAGGCACGAAAGCGUGGGUAGCAAACAGG
RNAcentral lists this ribosomal RNA (253 nucleotides) under uncultured bacterium. Its description in RNAcentral is "partial 16S ribosomal RNA". It matches the Rfam family "Bacterial small subunit ribosomal RNA", at positions 524 to 776 of the family's 1533-position model. The record is from RNAcentral.